This 488-nucleotide ribosomal RNA is filed under the name uncultured bacterium. RNAcentral's name for it is "partial 16S ribosomal RNA". It matches the Rfam family "Bacterial small subunit ribosomal RNA", at positions 28 to 506 of the family's 1533-position model. The record is from RNAcentral.
GAUGAACGCUAGCGGCAGGCCUAAUACAUGCAAGUCGUGGGGCAGCAGGACUGUAGCAAUACAGUUGCUGGCGACCGGCAAACGGGUGCGGCACACGUACGCAACUUAUCCUGAACUGGGGGAUAGCCCGGGGAAACUCGGAUCAAUACCCCGUAAUAUAAUGGAGUGGCAUCCCUUUAUUAUUAAAGCUCCGGCGGUUCGGGAUGGGCGUGCGGCUGAUUAGGUAGUUGGUUGAGGUAACGGCUCACCAAGCCCACGAUCAGUAACUGGUGUGAGAGCACGACCAGUCACAGGGACACUGAGACGCGAGACCGAACCCUAGGCGAGGCAGCGAUAAGGAAGAUAGGGAAAUGGGGGCAACACUGACCCAGCCAUGCCGCGUGGAGGAUGAAGGCCCUCUUGAGUGGAGACUUCUUUUAUAGGGGACGGCACCUGUGUAUGCUUACGUAGUGACCGGAACCCUAGAAAUAGACACGGGCAAACUCGGG